RNAcentral lists this ribosomal RNA (515 nucleotides) under uncultured bacterium. RNAcentral's name for it is "bacterial SSU rRNA". It matches the Rfam family "Bacterial small subunit ribosomal RNA", at positions 352 to 866 of the family's 1533-position model. The record is from RNAcentral.
CAGUGAGGGAAUAUUGGUCAAUGGAGGCAACUCUGAACCAGCCAAGUCGCGUGAAGGAUGAAGGUCUUAUGGAUUGUAAACUUCUUUUGCAAGGGAAUAAAGUGGGGGACGUGUCCUCCUUUGCAUGUACCUUGCGAAUAAGGAUCGGCUAACUCCGUGCCAGCAGCCGCGGUAAUACGGAGGAUCCGAGCGUUAUCCGGAUUUAUUGGGUUUAAAGGGUGCGCAGGCGGGAUGUUAAGUCGGCGGUGAAAUUUUGCAGCUCAACUGUAAAAGUGCCUUCGAUACUGGCUUUCUUGAGUGUGGAUGAAGUAGGCGGAAUUUGUGGUGUAGCGGUGAAAUGCUUAGAUAUCACGAGGAACUCCGAUUGCGCAGGCAGCUUACUAAACCACUACUGACGCUCAUGCACGAAGGCGUGGGGAUCAAACAGGAUUAGAUACCCUGGUAGUCCACGCAGUAAACGAUGAUUACUAGUUGUUUGCGAUACAAUGUAAGCGACUGAGCGAAAGCGUUAAGUA